This 118-nucleotide ribosomal RNA is filed under the name Holophagales bacterium. The record is from RNAcentral. Lineage: Bacteria; Pseudomonadati; Acidobacteriota; Holophagae; Holophagales.
UCCGGUGGCCAUAUCGAAGGGGCUCCACCCGUUCCCAUUCCGAACACGGCAGUUAAGCCCUUCAGAGCCCAUGGUACUGCACGGGUCAACUGUGUGGGAGAGUAGGACGCCGCCGGGA